This 88-nucleotide transfer RNA is filed under the name Pseudomonadota bacterium. Its description in RNAcentral is "Proteobacteria bacterium (groundwater metagenome) tRNA-Ser". It matches the Rfam family "tRNA". From Rfam's summary of the family: Transfer RNA (tRNA) molecules are approximately 80 nucleotides in length. Lineage: Bacteria; Pseudomonadati; Pseudomonadota. The record is from RNAcentral. RNAcentral also lists the same sequence under 1 other name.
GGAGAGGUGACCGAGAGGCCGAAGGUGCACGACUGGAAAUCGUGUGUGCGGCAACGUACCGGGGGUUCGAAUCCCCCCUUCUCCGCCA